CCUACGGGAGACAGCAGUGGGGAAUAUUGCACAAUGGGGGAAACCCUGAUGCAGCGACGCCGCGUGAGUGAAGAAGUAAUUCGUUACGUAAAGCUCUAUCAGCAGGGAAGAAACACUCACUUUACGGGCAGCAGGCGGUACCUAAGUAAGUAGCCGCAGCUAACUACGUUCCAGCAGACGCGGUAAUACGUAGGGGGCAAGCGUUAUCCGGAUUUACUGGGUGUAAAGGGAGCGUAGACGGUUAGCCAAGUCUGGAGUGAAAUGCCGGAGCUUAACUGCGGAACUGCUCUGGAAACUGGCGAACUAGAGUGCGGGAGGGGUAAGCGGAAUUCCUAGUGUAGCGGUGAAAUGCGUAGAUAUUAGGAGGAACACCAGUGGCGAAGGCGGCUUACUGGACCGUAACUGACGUUGAGGCUCGAAAGCGUGGGGAGCAAACAGGAUUAGAUACCCCUGUAGUC
Molecule: ribosomal RNA, 458 nt
Filed under: uncultured bacterium
Lineage: Bacteria
Description: partial 16S ribosomal RNA
Rfam family: Bacterial small subunit ribosomal RNA
Source: RNAcentral